UACGUAGGUGGCAAGCGUUAUCCGGAUUUACUGGGUGUAAAGGGUGAGUAGGCGGGUCUGCAAGUCAGGUGUGAAAUACUGCGGCCCAACCGCAGAAUUGCAUUUGAAACUACGGAUCUUGAGUGUCGGAGAGGUAAUUGGAAUUCCCAGUGUAGCGGUGAAAUGCGUAGAGAUUGGGAGGAACACCAGUGGCGAAGGCGGAUUACUGGACGACAACUGACGCUGAGACACGAAAGCGUGGGGAGCAAACAGGAUUAGAUACCCGGGUAGUCCCU
This 275-nucleotide ribosomal RNA is filed under the name uncultured prokaryote. RNAcentral's name for it is "partial 16S ribosomal RNA". It matches the Rfam family "Bacterial small subunit ribosomal RNA", at positions 524 to 798 of the family's 1533-position model. The record is from RNAcentral.